UGCGUGGGAACUUGCUGGAAGGAAGGAAUGACCCUUCUAGCCAUGGAACGGUGGUCAUCCGUGAGCCACGGCCUCAGGAGGUGCCUUCCUAAUGUGCAGGUGACGAUUGCCUCUGAGCUCAGGCAUGCAGCUUCUGGGAUGCACUCUCCUUUCACGGCAAAGCAUUCUGCAUAGGAAAAACCGUCUCUGCGUCUCCAAGCUGUGGCCUAGCCCUUCAUUCAUCAAAUGGGAUACAACUUUCAUUUCUUAUUAAAAUCUGGAAGUCACUCUCCAUUUGUAAGAUAUCCCAGGGGUUGAUGUCAUCUUGUAAAGGGGGACAGUGCCAUUUUCUAUCUUACACUUUAAAAAGACAAAACCACUAGCUACAAACAUCAUUCACCACAGCAUGGGAGAGGCAACCCCACAGCAAAGGUUAUGUCAUGUUUCAUAAAUGGGUAUGGAUUUGGGGGCUGGUUUUUUUAAUAAAAACAUAUUUUGGUACUUUGGAACUUGACAUAAUUUGAGCUGUUUAUGUUGUAGAUGUUAUGAAUAGAUGUUAUGGUAUUAAUUAAUAGUGUGUAUUUUCUAUGUCUGGGCUUGCCUGGACCGCUGGUCCUUGCCUUUCUUUCUGACACAGAAUUUCCAGGGCCUCAACCUGCUUCUGUCUGGAAGUGACAGCCCACUCCACAGGGGUCUUCAGAUAGGGGUAGAAGGUGGUGCCCUGGGCUCUCCUGGCUCUAGAGAAUCUGGCUCUAGAAUCACGAAGCCUUCCAGCAUCCCCAGCUUCCCCCUUGCAGUAAUCCCAUAAGGGAAGCGUUGUCCCAUUUUACAGAGAGUCCGUGGGGCUGAGAGGUGUCAUGAAUUAUUCUAAUGGUAGUAACUCUAUUGGAGAGGCUGAAACCCGGGGCUCGUGGAUGUUGUGACCCACCCCCCACCAGAACCUCCCAUCCUGACUCACUGAAUAUUUAGUACCAUCGUCCCCUGGAGGAUGGUCUAGUUGGCAAGUAGCUGAGGAUUUUUAAUUCUAAUUUAGUUUAAACAUGGCUGUUUGUUGCUGUUGCUCUCUAAAGGGCCUUAUUAAAGACUCUUGCUGCAGUGAAGGUGGCCUGUCUAGGAAUCGAUAUGGAUGUUGAGAUCUGAGACUCUACAACACCCCCAAUCUCAGUCCUUCUCGCUCCAUAGGCAGUUCCAUUCCCUGCAGAUCUAACUCUGAGAUUCUCACUCCUGAAAAUGCCUGGACAAUAAAUAAAUCCAAGGUGAAGGUGUUGAUGCCAGUGACCUAGCUGCAUCAUUUUAUUCAUGGCAUCAAGCCUUCAAGAAUGUGGCUUAACUUGUAUUUAUUCACAUGAUAAUGGCUUUUUAUAAAUCUGCAUCUCUUCCUCCCCUAGGAAGAAAAAAAGGGCAUCUCUUCAUGAGUCACUUGAUUAAAAUUCCUCUCCAGUACUCUGUACCAUCCACUCAUACUGGAAUUGUUGAAAAUCAGGUGAUUUGCAACUCCACACUUGCCCAAAUUAAACCAUGAGUGGAAUUGACAAUAUGAAUCCUGAAUUUUCUGAGCUGGAAGGAGGUUCUAGUGAUUACCCACACCAGGGAUGGCAUUUUACACAUGAAGAAACAGAGGCCCCAGGGUUGUUUCUGAUCCAGAUUUGGAGUGUGUAAAUUGAUAAAAUUAGUAUCAAUGCUAUUGUAACUACCUGGAAUUGGUUAAAUAGCAGCAGUGCCAGUCACCUUUCUUAGAGUAGAGAUUGCCAGCAGGCAAUAUCUUCAUCCUCAGGACCCAGGUCUCUCUUCUCUGACCCUGCCUGGACCCUGACAAUCCCAGGGCGCUCUGCGUUGGAAUCAGUUUGGAUGUGUGUUACCAGAUCUUCGCUGAAGCAGGGCACUCUGCAUUGGAGUAAAUUUGGAUGUGUGUUACCAGAUCUUCGCUGAAGAACGCAAGGAACCCAGCAUGCAAAGCUGGCCACUACAGUUACAUUUUUCCCUCCCUUUGAAAAAAAUUUUAUGAAUGCCUUUCUGAACAAAGAAUAUGAACUAACCCUCAUCAUUCAUUACAUUUAAAUAGCAUAACAUGCCAUUGAAAUCCUUUUCCAGACGUUUCAGCAAGUGAAAUCAUUUGUGGUUCAUGUUAUAGCUUUUUCAGUAACAUGACUUGAGAAAUUUUUCUUCUUACUAAUAAAAGGGAAUCAUUCCCGCAGUUAAAGAAUUCAUCUUGGAAUCCUCUGGUUUUUCAUCAUGCUUUACUUUUAAAACUUCCCGUUCUGCUGUAGCAAACUUCCCAUUCUGCUGUGGCAAACACGAGUGCAUAUUAGUUUUCAUCUUUGGAAGAUGAAUGAAGUAUGUGACUUUUCAAACAGGGAUCUCACAUUUUAAGUCUAGUUAUUCCAGAAUAAAAACAAGCCAGAGGCCCAAACACAGGAUUCUUCACUGUCGUUAGCAAUUUGGGCACAAAUCUGAAGGGCCAGUUUGGUGCAGGUGUGCUGGAGGAUACAUGGAGAAAAAAAAACAUGUUCCAGUCUAGUUCUGAUACACAGAAAUUGAAAGAGCAACCCAAGGAGUUGGGUUGCUCUUCCACAUGGUCAGGAUGAGCCAAGGCUUCCGGGUAGGGCUUUUAGGGCAAGUGGGCCCCAGCUGAGCCCAGCAGGGGCAGGGCCAAGAUGAGCAGAAGGAAGAGAUAGGCUCUGGAAGGAGAGGCAGGAGGAGGCAGGUGUGGGCAGGUGCAGGCAGAUGUGGGCAGGUGGAGGCAGGAGGAGA
This 2730-nucleotide long non-coding RNA is filed under the name Homo sapiens (human). Its description in RNAcentral is "HSALNT0360618". The record is from RNAcentral. Lineage: Eukaryota; Metazoa; Chordata; Mammalia; Primates; Hominidae.